UUGUGCCUUGCUACUUCCCGGCAUGCUGAGUGACUUUGCCUUUAUGAAGCUCUAUGCAUACAAGAUGACUGUCGGAACUCAUCUCUGUAGGGCCAACACCUGAGGUACUGACUAAGAGAGUCUGCAGUGCAGUUGAGGUCCCAGCCAUGUGCCUUCAACCACUCUGGAGAAAUGUUGGGAGGAGCUCUCAGUGCGAUCCUUUCCAUACCUUCCAAGGAUUUUUAGGAUCGUGGGAUUUAUGGACCUGCAAAAUCCUCUGGAGAACAUCAGCCACCGACAAAACCAUCUGGAAAUUCCUGCUGUCUUUUUGCCCUGUCUUUCCUGAGUCACCGAGUCUUGGGAAGGAAGCAUCUCUGCUCUGAGGAUUACAGCAAAUCAGUUGCUUGCCGUCCUUACUGGAAUACCUUCCCUUUCAGUUGCUCAGAACAUAGCAAUUACUGAAGAAGGCAGAAGGAUAUUUUUUCCCUUUCACCGAGCUUUUGCAGCGCAGCAGUGGCUGUGUCCGGCUAUGUAGAUGGUUUCCACAUUCUCUACCCAAUUUCUUUUCCUGAUGUUUAGGAACUGAAUCAUUCUGUUUCCCUACUAGCCUCUGCUAAAGGUCUCGCUUGACUGCAAAAAGGAGAAAGGAGGAGUGUGUGCAGGGAGUUCAGGUCCUGCUGUGGCUUCUUGGGAAGUGAGGAGGAAUAAAGAAGGUAGGAUAACCAAGGUCAGCACCUCACUUCAAGCUAUCAGUUGGACUGCUUGCGGGAUAUCUGCUAUGGACCUUCUGGCUGAUUUUUCUCUUGUAAGAUCCAGAGCGAUCAUUGCCUGUCGUGUACUCAAACUUGCUUUAUACAGAAGACAGCAGAAAGCCACAAAAUUGGAGCCUCAGUAAUUUCUUUACACCCACCAUUUGCCAGUGUUCUGGAUUGGAAACCAACUGCAGCAGCUACUGAGAGUCUCAUUCCUCCUCCACGUGAACCUCCUUCCAGGGAACUGUGAAAAUUCCCACUUCCAUCUCCUUCGCGUACUGGGGUUUCAUGACCAUUAAAACCCGUUCCUGGAACCAUGGGAUGGCCCCACAGCAUGCUUUUGAUCCAGCUCAGAUGUGGGCUUCUCCGUGGGAUGAGUGCCCAGCAAGUCCAGCCAUCAAAACCUACCUAGACCCUAUGGAGCUGCAUGCUCUGACUCAUCCCUACUGAAAUGUCCCCACACCCUGCCCCAGGGCUGUGCAUUCCUGGGCACUGGUUGCCUGUGCCUCAUGAGGUCUUUCUACCAAACUCAUCACUUUGGCUUGGUUCUGCAUCACCACACUGAAACUGUGCAAACUGCAAGCCACCAAACUGUACCUUUGAGCCACCUCACGGGGCACAUGUCCCACAGUGGCUUGGCUGCUGGACCACUCAGGGUGGGAUGCGCAACACACUGCAAGGAAUUUAGUUCAGCACUGGUGCUGGUAGAGCACGGAGCUGGGAGAGCAGCAUCCCUAAUUCAGGUUGAUGCGUGGCUGUGUUGGAGCCCUUUCUGUAAACCACUUCAAAGGGCGUUUUGCUGUUUUGUCUCUUCAUUCACUGUUCUUUCCCACUUGUGCAUUUUGUGCAAUUUUAAAAACUUCUUGCAUGUAUUCCAUUCCUCUUAUCCUAGACCAAGUGGCUAUCUUCUCUUCUUUCUUAGCUGGCUUGUUCAUGCAGAGGCAAGGAGUAGCAAAACAUGUUUUUCCUUCUGAAAAGAGAGAAAAUAAAUGUUUGAUACCUGAUAAUAGUUUUUGUUGUUUGUCUGAGGCAGCUUGAAAUCCUUAGGGAAAAUCAGAAUUGUUCCAUUAGGAUGAGCUGCUUGCAAGCAUCCUGCCAAACUGGAACAGCCCUUCAAGCUGUACUGAAAUGAAUUCAAACCCUCCACAGAUAAGCACAACAUAGGGUAUAAUUUUACUUCAACAGAAGGAAAAAGUCCAGUACAUCAUCUCCUUUUAUUUCAGUGUCUGGUUGUCUUGACACCCAUGUACAUAUAGAAAUAUGCUUUCUUCACAUGUAUUUACUGAGGCACUCAAGCUAAAUGCAAUUGAGCCUGGUGGUUGCUGGGAUGGUUCAUCGUGCACGUCCAGGUGCCAUCUGUACACAGGGAAGCUGGCAAUGCAGUAAAUGGCUGUUUUCCCUUCUUUAAGAGAUGCAUGUUGGGGUUGACUUUUGAUGAUCACUUAGGAUCUUAAGCUUUUGUGCUUUUGCAUUUACCUUUGUGUUGGCUAAAUUUCAGUUCACUUACUUCCCUGUGAACAAUUCUUUUUUUGUUGAAUAAACUAUUCCUUGCAAACCAUAA
Long non-coding RNA from Gallus gallus (chicken), 2292 nucleotides. RefSeq lists it as uncharacterized. The transcript is spliced from 6 exons. The record is from RefSeq and is a predicted model, not a curated record. NCBI's taxonomy places the organism in Eukaryota, Metazoa, Chordata, Aves, Galliformes, Phasianidae.